GAAUACCGCAACAGAGCGGGAAGCGCGCAGGAAAACGCACCGUGUGAGGCUGGGAGGGGAAGGGCAGCGCCCCCCGAUCUCGUGCCGGCCCUUGACCGGGUGCUGCACACAGGGGAAAGCCCCGGAGCCCAGCUUUGGUCACUGCCCAAACAGAAAGCUGCUGAACAGAGUGAAGUUGAGAUUGGGGUGUUCCAACCUAGGUAAAAUUGGGACAGGCAUCAGGUAAGGUAAUUACACAGGGUGGGGAGAGUUUGGUACGGGACGAGUGUGCAGGUAGUUGAAAAUAUUGUCCUUCUAUCGCAAUAAAAAGUAUGGAACAUACCUAAAAUCGAUGGGUUGGUAACAGACAUUGCAGGGAAGCGUCAGGUAGCAAUGGAAGUGUACGGCAGUGUCAGAAGGUUGUGAUGCGCCACCAGGGGGUGCCAGGAGCGGCUUUACCUGCGUCACACCCAGGGUCUGGCAGGUCUACCAGGAUGGGUUUCACUCACUGGUUGUGCAGUUUCUGCCUGGUCGUUAGGGGUGUGCACCCAUUGUUGCACUAAUGAAUAAAAUGCCCUUCACAGAGGUCGUGGCUUGAUUGGAAGUUGUUGAUUUGGGGCUAUUUCUCACAAGAUGCCCCAUGAGUCUUCCCUGCUGCAGGGAAUUUCCAGCUCUCCCUGAGUCUUUCCUCAUAGGAGAUGCUUGAGAGUGGAGACCCCUCCCCAUCUGUGUGUCAUUAGUUGGACUUUCUAUGGCAGCUCCCUGCUCCUGUUGUGCUGCAGAGCCCAGGACUGGACGUGGUUGUGCAGAACAGCUUCACCAGUGCUGAGGGGAAGGUUCUCCAGCACUGACCUGCACCUCAUAACAUAACCCUGGUGGGUGCUGGCCUCCUUUACUGCUUACAAGGGCAGAUUCCUGCUGUUUUAUGAAAGCUUCGUUGAUGUUUUAAAGCCUUCUUGGCUUUCACAAACCACUGAGCAACACUCUGCAUGGAAAUGCAAUGGUGCCAAAACUGUAGGAUGCUGCAGAUGCGUGAGCUGGCACCAACACUGCAAACAGUGGGAAAACCCAGGAGAAAUUGAGAUACCUGAAGAACACAGGGCAAAAGAGUUCCAGAAGAGAAGGAUCUUCCUCCUGCAGUGCUGGCAUCUUCAGCUGAUUCCUGAUAUUUAGCAGGCUUAAAUUUCAACAGCUGAAAACCAAACAGAGGUCUAAUAUUGCAGCUGGAGGGGUUGUGCACAGAAGUUAUUUAAGCACUGAUAUGACACUUUAAUUUGUUGGAACUGUAUGUUAUGUACACUUUGUCAACAAUUAUCAAACUGAAUUUAUUAUCCUUUUUAAAAAUGUAAUCAAUUAUUAAUUGUCAAGCUCAACUCCUGUGCUGGUCACCACCUGUAAAAUCUCACUUUGUGGUAGUCACUGUUUGCAUUAAAGCUUAAGGGACUUAAACCUCA
This is a long non-coding RNA of Centrocercus urophasianus (Greater sage-grouse), 1433 nucleotides long. RefSeq lists it as uncharacterized. NCBI's taxonomy places the organism in Eukaryota, Metazoa, Chordata, Aves, Galliformes, Phasianidae. The transcript is spliced from 2 exons. The record is from RefSeq and is a predicted model, not a curated record.